RNAcentral lists this small RNA (2772 nucleotides) under Rattus norvegicus (Norway rat). RNAcentral's name for it is "uncharacterized LOC102548914". Lineage: Eukaryota; Metazoa; Chordata; Mammalia; Rodentia; Muridae. The record is from RNAcentral.
GAGAGCUCAGUGGUUAGAGCCAGUUUACCUAAAACAGGGUUUCUGGUUUAGCGAGGCAAACGAGGUGUGCCUUUGAACAAGGCACUUGUUUUCAGUCUGUUUCCUUCAACAGCAAAUGACAACCAUCCCCUUUCUGCUGUUCAAGAAUGACAGAUGACAGAUCUGGGGAAAGAGAGGUGUGAGACACCUCUGUAAACCGUAAAGUUGUAAGAGCGAGCACUAUACAGUGACCGAAUUCCCCCACAGAGCGUUCUCACUGUAAGUGGAGAGUGACUGUCAAGGAGAACCCAAAGGCAGAAACAAGGGGUUGGAAAGAGACUUGGGGACCAGCCUUCUGUUGGGAGAGGGAUUUGGGGUGCGGCUUCUGGACCCUGGCAAUGUCUCCUGGCUCGAGAGCUGCGUCCAGGUGUUGGGCUGGGAGAGACACCGCUGAGCUGAAGCAACCUGCUGCCCUUGACUCCCUCAGAAGACUGUUUUCUCUUUGAUCCUUUUCUUCUGACUUGGAGCCAUUUCUUUCAGACUUUGCAAGUUAGCUGAAUAGUCGUGGGUCUCUACUGCCCUCGUGUGGUCACUCCCCAGCAUUGCUGCAUGGGCUUCUGAAGGGAUUUGAGGGACAUAAGCCAACCUGACCUAGGAAAGCAAAGCCAACUUUCCAAAUCAGCACUUUCCAGGGCCAGCGGAAGACUUAACCCCCAAAUUAAAGUCAGCAUCUUGAAGCCGGUGCUCCUAGUGGGAGGGAGCAAAGCUACUGAAGUGGGGGAUGCUGACAACAGAGAGGCCACACGCGUGUGAGGGCAGGGACAGAGGAAACUGCCCAACUUCACUGUGAACCGAAGACUGCUUUAAAGCUUUGUUGAUACCUGUCCACCUCACUGCCCUGUCAUUUCUGCUGUCGGAUGCUACAGCCCUGAAGCCACACAAAGCCACUGUGCUCAAGAAAACAAAACGAGAUCUAGACAUAUGCAGGGGGUUUCUGGCUCAGCGGUUAGGAACACUGGCUGCUCUUCUGGAGGCCAGGAGUUCCGCUCCCAGCAGCCACAUCAGGCGACUCCCAGUGGCCUACGGCUCCAGCUCGAGGGGCUGCAACGUCCUCUCCUGGACCUGCAGCACAUACUCACACAGAAGAGGCAGACUUCACGCUUCUUAAAAAGUAACCAUAAAGGGAAAUAUGUUUUAGGGACUGGCUGCAAGGGAAGUGGUUCUCAUCCAGGGCAGACCCCAACAGAGUCCUAUGUGGGAAGUUCAUAAACUGCCUCUAAACAACUACAGUCUGACCAGAGACGUGAACCCAGCCGGAACACGGAGAUGCCUAAAAAACCAGAAACAGUAACCGGGGUCCUGCCAUCCAGGGGUCAAGACUAAAUACACUGGGAAAAUCACUUCAUUCCUUAGAGGGAGGUGGGAGGGGAUGGGAAAGGUGUGACUGUGGGAGGGAAGCCCCCGAAAAGGGUGGGGGGAGGAGUACAGGACAUAAAUAAUACCCUAGAAACCACGUACAAAUUAUGGUUUUCUUUCUUUUUUUUUUUAUUUAGAAAGAAGUAUCAAAUUUAAUAAUUUUCUUCAGUUAAGGACAGUGUGUUUUCAUCUCACAUUGACUCCUUUUUUUUCUUUCAAACUGGUUUUCAGGGCACCUUUAUGUGCACUGCACAGUCUCUCAGCCACCCGCAGCAGGAGGGACGGCAUUUUUAUAUUGUUUCCAGUUUAGGGGGAUCCUACUGUGUGCAACCCUUACUCUCAGGGCCCUUCAGAGGCAGAGGACUAUUGGAGUUGUGAGCAUCAACUCUGCAAAGCCCAGGUUUCCUCACCUCAGACAUGGUUAACAGAGGGACCCUGAUGAGCCCCUCCAUCACUGUGGUGUGUCCCCUCUGCAGGCCGUUCCCAGGCUGAGUGCUUCAGCCACACAAAGCAAGCCUCUGCAUGUGGGAAGGUCGCUCUUCCCUUACAUUACAAGGCCUGUGCUCCCUGCUGGGGCUGAGACACAGAGUGAAGCACUAAUGCUUCAGAGGACAUGCAUAAGGACAGAUGAGCAGAAUCUUGACAACCGUCAUGCUGUGGCAAUGGAGACUUUUAAAGUCCCAUGUACACGCCAUGGCACACAUGUGGAAGUCAAUUCUCCUAUCUGAGGUAGGAAGGCACACUAAUGAUAGGUGGCACCAUUCCUGGACUUGGGUCCUAGACGGUAAGAAGAGAGCAAGGACUGGUGAGACCCUCAGUGUGUAAAUGUAUGGCAGCCCAGCCUGAGGACCCGAGGUCUCCUGACCUUCACUCCCACACCAAGCACAUCUUGUCCCUCCCUGCCACAUACACAACUGAUAAAUGGGUAGUGUAAAACAGGAGAGAGCGAGCUGAGCACGAACAUUCACUGCCCUCCGCUUCCUAAUUGCAGGGGCGAUGCGACCAUACUUCGAACUCCACUGCUUUGACUCCCUUCAGGGUACAUGACACUCCUCAGAAAGCCAACAGCAACCUUUCCUUGUGCUGAUUUCUCAGGAUGUUUUAUCACAGCCGCAGGAACGACGAAGGACUAAGAUGGAGCCCUGGCUUUCUGUGUGGGUUGGGCAACUGGGCAUCUUCCGGGCCCCAAUGCUGGGAUCCCAUGAUUUUACAUGUUACACGAAUGUUACAUGUGUGUAACACUCAUGCACCUGCUACUUCUCCUUUCUCUAAAUAGUCUCACCAUGACCAUAUUUCACUUAAUAUUUUCUCCUCUCUAAUGACAAAUGUAUAAAUGCACGUAUCUAUUAAUAAAAUAAUUUCUGUUGUUUUGUUCCA